Molecule: ribosomal RNA, 935 nt
Filed under: uncultured eukaryote
Lineage: Eukaryota
Description: bacterial SSU rRNA
Rfam family: Eukaryotic small subunit ribosomal RNA
Source: RNAcentral
CUCCACCUUAUAGGCGAUGAUUAAGCGCCGCGAUCGCCUGUGCCAGCAGCCGCGGUAAUUCCAGCUCCAAUAGCGUAUUCAAAUGUUGUUGCAGUUAAAAAGCUCGUAGUUGGAUAUCAGAACUCGUGGAAUUGGCCCGUCGCCUUUGUGUGAUUGAGUGCUAGUGAAGCGGUUCUUUCUUUUCCGAGAAGGUGCUCUCCCUUUAAUUAGUGGUGGAGUUUUCCAACUUGGAUCUGUUACCUUGAAUAAAUUAGAGUGUUCAAAGCAAGCUUACGCUGUGAAUAUUUUAGCAUGGAAUAACGACAUAGGACUUUGUUGUCUAUUUCGUUGGUUUCUAGACUCGAAGUAAUGAUUGAUAGGGACAGUUGGGGGUGCUGGUAUUAUAUGGCCAGAGGUGAAAUUCUCAGAUUCAUGUAAGACCAACUCAUGCGAAAGCAUUCACCAAGGAUGUCUUCUUUAAUCAAGAACGAAAGUAGGGGGAUCGAAGACGAUCAGAUACCGUCGUAGUCUCUACCAUAAACUAUGCCGACUAGGGAUUGGAGGACGUUGAUUACUCGACUUCUUCAGCACCUUAUGAGAAAUCAAAGUCUUUGGGUUCCGGGGGGAGUAUGGUCGCAAGGCUGAAACUUAAAGAAAUUGACGGAAGGACACCACCAGAAGUGGAACUUGCGGCUUAAUUUGGCUCAACACGGGAAAACUUACCAGGUCCAGACGCAGUUAUGAAUGUCAGCUUAAAGAGCUUACAUGAUUCUUCGGGUGGUGGUGCAUGGCCGUUCUUAGUUGGUGGAGUGAUUUGUCUGGUUAAUUCCGUUAACGAACGAGACCCCAACCUGCUAAAUAGAGUCGUUCUCGAUUUUCGAGGGCGGGUACUUCUUAGAGGGACUUUUGGAACCAAUCCAAAGGAAGCUUGGGGCGAUAACAGGUCUGUGAUGCCC